This 237-nucleotide ribosomal RNA is filed under the name uncultured Anoxybacillus sp. Its description in RNAcentral is "partial 16S ribosomal RNA". It matches the Rfam family "Bacterial small subunit ribosomal RNA", at positions 1146 to 1382 of the family's 1533-position model. Lineage: Bacteria; Bacillati; Bacillota; Bacilli; Caryophanales; Anoxybacillaceae. The record is from RNAcentral.
UGACUGCCGGCUAAAAGUCGGAGGAAGGUGGGGAUGACGUCAAAUCAUCAUGCCCCUUAUGACCUGGGCUACACACGUGCUACAAUGGGCGGUACAAAGGGUCGCGAACCCGCGAGGGGGAGCCAAUCCCAAAAAGCCGCUCUCAGUUCGGAUUGCAGGCUGCAACUCGCCUGCAUGAAGCCGGAAUCGCUAGUAAUCGCGGAUCAGCAUGCCGCGGUGAAUACGUUCCCGGGCCUU